Molecule: long non-coding RNA, 489 nt
Organism: Gossypium raimondii (Peruvian cotton)
Lineage: Eukaryota; Viridiplantae; Streptophyta; Magnoliopsida; Malvales; Malvaceae
Exons: 3
Source: RefSeq, a predicted model, not a curated record
GAAAUUAACUUUUUCUUCAUUGUUUGUAUCACCGAAAGUAGAAAAGAAAAACUAGGUUUGAGAGCUUGAAAUAUUCGGCCCUUUUGAAAGCUUAAUUCAAGAUCAAGAAACCAAGAAAUCGGAUUUAGAUCGGGGGAAAUCAAAGGUAGUUGAGUUGCCGAUUUAUUAGUCGACGAUAUCCGAGAUUUUGGUGAUCGCUACGUGUUCGGGGAUCGUCAGCUAAGCUCAUCACACUAUCGGUGUCUUCUUUUGGUAUUUUGCUAAAUUGUUUUCAAGUAUAUGGCAUGUAUAGCAUAGUUAAAAAUGUUGAUUUUGAAACCAAUGUGUUUGUGUAAUUAAAAGCCAUGCGAAAAUGGCUUAUCUCUUUUUGUUUGAAUUUGAUUUUGAUACAUAUAGUUAAUGGACAAUUUGGGGUAUAUGCUUAUGUAUCAUGUGCAUGAUUAAUUAGAUUUAGAUAAUAUAUAUUUGGCUUAGAUAUAAGUUCAAUAA